Molecule: ribosomal RNA, 465 nt
Filed under: Vreelandella stevensii
Lineage: Bacteria; Pseudomonadati; Pseudomonadota; Gammaproteobacteria; Oceanospirillales; Halomonadaceae
Description: partial 16S ribosomal RNA
Rfam family: Bacterial small subunit ribosomal RNA
Source: RNAcentral
CCUACGGGAGGCUGCAGUGGGGAAUAUUGGACAAUGGGCGAAAGCCUGAUCCAGCCAUGCCGCGUGUGUGAAGAAGGCCUUCGGGUUGUAAAGCACUUUCAGUGGGGAAGAAAGCCUUGGGGCUAAUACCCUCGAGGAAGGACAUCACCCACAGAAGAAGCACCGGCUAACUCCGUGCCAGCAGCCGCGGUAAUACGGAGGGUGCGAGCGUUAAUCGGAAUUACUGGGCGUAAAGCGCGCGUAGGCGGUCUGAUAAGCCGGUUGUGAAAGCCCCGGGCUCAACCUGGGAACGGCAUCCGGAACUGUCAGGCUAGAGUGCAGGAGAGGAAGGUAGAAUUCCCGGUGGAGCGGUGAAAUGCGUAGAGAUCGGGAGGAAUACCAGUGGCGAAGGCGGCCUUCUGGACUGACACUGACGCUGAGGUGCGAAAGCGUGGGUAGCAAACAGGAUUAGAUACCCUGGUAGUC